RNAcentral lists this RNase P RNA (215 nucleotides) under Vulcanimicrobiota bacterium. RNAcentral describes it as "partial RNase P RNA component class A". It matches the Rfam family "Bacterial RNase P class A", at positions 152 to 367 of the family's 367-position model. From Rfam's summary of the family: Ribonuclease P (RNase P) is a ubiquitous endoribonuclease, found in archaea, bacteria and eukarya as well as chloroplasts and mitochondria. Its best characterised activity is the generation of mature 5'-ends of tRNAs by cleaving the 5'-leader elements of precursor-tRNAs. Lineage: Bacteria; Bacillati; Vulcanimicrobiota. The record is from RNAcentral.
GGGUGAAAUCGUGAGGUAAGAGCUCACGGGGCUUCGCGGAGACGCGAGCCCGGGUAAACCCCACCUGAAGCAAGAUUGCGGGAUUGCCUCGUUCGCGGGGCCGGGCGGCCCGCCCGACGCCGGCAAUCGCACCGAGGUACGCGGUGACGCGUGCCCCAGAUAGAUGAUCGUCACCCGCAAGGGGACAGAAUCCGGCUUACAGGCGUACUCCGCAA